This is a long non-coding RNA of Hydra vulgaris (swiftwater hydra), 396 nucleotides long. RefSeq lists it as uncharacterized. The record is from RefSeq and is a predicted model, not a curated record. NCBI's taxonomy places the organism in Eukaryota, Metazoa, Cnidaria, Hydrozoa, Anthoathecata, Hydridae.
AUUUGUAAUCCGCUGCGUAUUUGAUGUUGUCAUGUUUCGGCACAUGACUCCAAAAUAGGACCUGGUAGGAACAACAAAAUGGAUUCUAGUAAGAGUCGCAUGGCGAAAAAAGGGGCUAGUCAAUCUUCUUUUGCUCAAAGUAUAGGCUUUGUUAAAAGUUUAUAUACUAAUCCUGCAAGAUGGCAACUUGUUAAACAUACUUCAAUCUUUUUUUUGGCUGUUUACUUGGCUCAUGAAUUUUCAGAUGUUGAUCUAAUGGCGCCUCCACCACUUUAAUUAAAAAAUGAGCAUAUAUUAAAAGGUGCUUACGUGUUGCUCUCGACUAAACUCUCCUGUUGUUUUUGUUUUGUGUUAUUUAUGUGAAAAGUAUGAUUUAAAUAUUUUUUUAAAAAUGUU